Molecule: ribosomal RNA, 253 nt
Filed under: uncultured bacterium
Lineage: Bacteria
Description: partial 16S ribosomal RNA
Rfam family: Bacterial small subunit ribosomal RNA
Source: RNAcentral
UACGGAGGAUCCAAGCGUUAUCCGGAAUCAUUGGGUUUAAAGGGUCCGUAGGCGGUUUUGUAAGUCAGUUGUGAAAGCCCAUCGCUCAACGGUGGAACGGCCAUUGAUACUGCAAGACUUGAAUUACUAGGAAGUAACUAGAAUAUGUAGUGUAGCGGUGAAAUGCUUAGAUAUUACAUGGAAUACCAAUUGCGAAGGCAGGUUACUACUAGUGGAUUGACGCUGAUGGACGAAAGCGUGGGGAGCGAACAGG